GACGAACGCUGGCGGCGUGCUUAACACAUGCAAGUCGAACGGAAAGGCCCUGCUUUUGUGGGGUGCUCGAGUGGCGAACGGGUGAGUAACACGUGAGUAACCUGCCCUUGACUUUGGGAUAACUUCAGGAAACUGGGGCUAAUACCGGAUAGGAGCUCCUGCUGCAUGGUGGGGGUUGGAAAGUUUCGGCGGUUGGGGAUGGACUCGCGGCUUAUCAGCUUGUUGGUGGGGUAGUGGCUUACCAAGGCUUUGACGGGUAGCCGGCCUGAGAGGGUGACCGGCCACAUGGGGACUGAGAUACGGCCCAGACUCCUACGGGAGGCAGCAGUGGGGAAUAUUGCACAAUGGGCGGAAGCCUGGUGCAGCAACGCCGCGUGCGGGAUGACGGCCUUCGGGUUGGAAACCGCUUUCGCCUGUGACGAAGCGUGAGUGACGGUAAUGGGUAAAGAAGCACCGGCUAACUACGUG
This 468-nucleotide ribosomal RNA is filed under the name uncultured bacterium. RNAcentral describes it as "partial 16S ribosomal RNA". It matches the Rfam family "Bacterial small subunit ribosomal RNA", at positions 28 to 507 of the family's 1533-position model. The record is from RNAcentral.